GAUCUCACAGUCUUUAGUGGCUACAGAAUUCUCAGUUGCCCCAGCAGGUCCAAACAUUUGCCUGUGGCGUUUCCUUUCCUUUCCAUGCCGGGAUUCACUCCCCCUUGGCUGACGCGGAUACGUGCAUUUGCUCCCAGGUGCUUGGCUCCUAAAGUGCUUCUCCUCCUGGGGUUCUGUGGAUCUAAUGGUGGAAUGUCAGUCGGUGUCAGAGGGGAGAUAAUUUGGGAUGUCGGGAGCUUCUGAGUCCUGCCUUAGCAACAGGGACAAAUUGUGAUUUUUGACCUUGAGUUUCACUAAUGAAUUGCUUAUAAUCACCACUUACUUUUAUUUGCAUAAACCUAAGCGUGAAGAAAAGCUUUGGGUCGCUCCUCCUGGUGCCAGGAGACUUUAGAGAGGGUUAGCUGUAAUAAGAGCAGUGAGUGGAAAGUCAGUGGAUGAAAUGCUGCAAAACUAAAUUUAAAUGAGUGAAUUCCGUUUCCUAUAACAAACAUACAGUAAAGAAGUGAAGUUCUCACCAUGAACGUGAGGCCGUGGCUGCUAACAGCCCCUCCUGUGUGCCAGGCACUGCUCCAGCUCUGUCCAGCUCAACCUGUGUGAUCCUCACAGCCACCCCAUGGUGCCCAUUUUACAGACAAAAAAAACUAAGACACAAAGAGGUAAGGAAUUUGCCCGGAGAUUACACAGUUCAUGGAGCAGGGAUUUGAACUCAGUGCCCUUGCCAAGUACCUGGCCACUGCGCCGUGAGUCGUAGAACAGUCCUGUAGGGUGGCCACGGUGUGGGCUUAUCGGUGCGCCUUCUUGCAGGAAAAGCACAAACCAGUUUCAGCGGAGAGCUUCAGCCCAACUACUCAGUUUCACCUGGCAAAGAUGGAGUAGUUUAAAGGAGACUCUACUCCCACCUAGCUAGUUUGUUUGCUCUUUGUGAUCUGUAAAUACUCUCCGGCUUCCCCUUUAUCUCUACAACAGGCAUGUGGUCCAGGCCAGCACUUUGAGGCCCCAACAGCACUUGUGUAACAGCUCUGGAUGCAGUGAUCCACUUGGAGCACCACUGACAUUGGGCUGUGGGGCCCAGUCUGCAUCAGGCCAAGGCUGAUUCUUGGUGUUUGGGAGCUGGGAUUUGCAUGCUGGUCUUUUGUGCAUCAUGGAUAUCUGAGAGGGAAGGUAGUGUGGCUGGGAGUGCAUCUGCAAAACAGGGGUGCAGGAGGUGGGGACUGCAUACGGUAGCUCCCUCACAAGGCUUUUGUGUAUUGGUUAGGGAUUGCUCCCGGUUGCUGUUAACAGAGACUGGAAAUAAUGGGUGGCUUAAACCAGAUCGAGGCUUAUCUCUUUCACAUAGAGGAUGUCAGGAGGUAGGCAGCCAGGGCUGGUGGGGGCUCAGCAGUGUCAUCAGGGAUCCAGGCAUCUACUUUCUUUCAGCCUCAUUAACUUUAGCAUGUGUUUUCCAACCUCAAAGUCACUUCAUACUCCAGGAUGGCUGCUGGAUCUCCAUCAUCACAUCUACUUUCCAGGGUGGCUGGACUUAGUGACUCACUUAUCACCAGUGGAAGGCAACAGAUGUGAUGUUUUGUGAUUCCUAAGGCCAAGUACAAAAAGACCGUGUAGUUUCUGCAAUGUGGUUCUCCUGGGACCCGUGGGGAAGCCAGCCACCACGUAAAAAGCCCCACCCCAGUGGCUCUGCCAUGCUGGUGGUAAGCACGUCACUAGCUCCAGCAGAGCUGCCACCCUAGGGUGGGCACCAGACGCCAGCUGUGUGUCCGAGCCAUCCUGGACAUCCCACACAGCCCAGCUGAGCCACCAGACGAUUGCAACCCCAGCUGGCAUUUGAAAGAAUGCCAAGCAAGAACUGCCCAGCUGAGCCCUUCCAGAAUUCCUGAUCCACAAAACUGUCUUGCUGAGGAUGUAGCUGGUCCUGGCUGGGAAAGUCUGAGAGCUGGUCCAGCAACAAGCAUUUCAGGUAAAAUAUGGCCAGGUUGCAGAAGACUCCAGCUGCCAGUGUAAGGAGUUGGCGUGUUACCCCGUGGAGUCAGAGCCUGAAAGUUUUUGAGGGGAAGAACAUGAGGAGACCAGCCAGUCAGCACCGCUCCGGUCCCUGAAGCAUCUGGAGCCCUGGAGCUGGCAGCAGGUUAGCUGUGACAGGCCUGGCUGUGAGGCCAGCGACCUCCAGCUCCCAGAGGCCUUCGGCUGCCCCAGUUCUGGACUCAGGCAGUAGAGGCGAAUCUGCCUCCCACCCCCAGCAUCCCUCUGGGCAAGCCAGAUAGAUGGUUUAAUAAUGCAGGCUGCCUGGUUGACCUCAUGGCUGCUGAGCCAGCUGAGACGCAUGCCACCCCACUACUGUGGCUGCAGGGCCCACGCCUGAGGCUCCAGAAGAAUCCCUGGAUGCAGAAUUUUGGAGCCCCCUGUAAGGUACUUAGAUGCAAAUGGCUGACACCCUGAGAGUAAGGGCUCAGCAGCCUCUGGCUAGUGGGCAGCAUAAGUCAGGUAGAUGUGCAGAGCCCUGAGCCUCCCCUACCCCCUCCAGCUCUCCCUGCUCAGAAGGCUGUGGGGAGGUGGUCUGUCACUGGGCUGUCCGUGCCUACAGACCUGUUCGCAGUCUGACCCUUGCAUCAUUGGAUGGGACAGUUCACGGGGCCCUCCCCAAGCACCCCUUCUGUACCUGGCAAGGGGCUGGGCAUCCAGGGCACAGACCAGGGGGGUCAGAUGUGGCUGACAUUCUAGUGGAAGCACCAGGUGUGUCCACAGGGCACUCUCAUUCCGUCCCUGUCCCAGGGCGUGCUCCAGGCCUCCUCUACUGAGACUCAUGGGGAGGCCGGCUGGCCAACCUCACCAUCCAGGAAUCUCAGCUCCAAGGCAGGUAAACAGGGUGCCAUCAGCAUCCCUAAUGAGGCUCUCUGGGGUCCCUCCCAUCACUGUAUCUCUGGGUCAAAGAGUAUCCACCCAGACACUUCAAAAUAUCCCACAGAGAGUGUGGCUUUGGCCUCCAGCCCUCAAGGCACUUUCUCAUGAGGGCCACAUGACUAGCCACCCCUUACUUUUGUCUAGCCUCAGCGUGACCUUUAGGUACAUUCUUCUGUCCCAUUAACUUUGAGCUGUCCUUGACUCGUGGGCUAUGAGGACUAUAGACUCUCAGAGUCAUAGAAUCUUUACGGAAUCAGAUCUUCCAGUUUGGCAUCCAUACCUCUAGUCCUUUGCAAGUCUAGAUGCAGAACACAGAACUUCCUCAGUUUCCCCCAACAUAAGUGAUUGAUCUCAAGCCCCCUGGGCCCCCAGGAUGGCUCCUGAUGAUACCUUCCCCCUAGAACCCACGCCCUGUGUAGUCCCCUCUCACAAUGAACAAGGUGGAUCUCUGUAGCCAAUGGGAUACUGCAAAACUGGCAUUGUAAGUAGGAUGGGCUAUACAAGACAUCAUGGCUUCCUUGGUAUCCUUGCUCUGGGUGAAGCAGCCACCAUGCUGCGAGGACACUCAAGCCAUCUGUUGAGAGGUCCAUGUGACAGGAACUGAGGCCUUCUCAAACAGCCAGUGCCAACUUGCCAGCCAUGUGAACGAACCACCUUGGAAGCAGAACCUCCACCACAGUCCAGCCUUCGGAUGAGUGCAACCCCAGCCAACAGCUCGACUCAACGUUCGGAGAGAUCUCAAGCCAGAAUCACCUUUUCCUAAAUCCCUGACCAUAGAAACUGUGCAAUAAUAAUUUUUUUUUUCCUGA
Long non-coding RNA from Manis javanica (Malayan pangolin), 3704 nucleotides. RefSeq lists it as uncharacterized. The record is from RefSeq and is a predicted model, not a curated record. Lineage: Eukaryota; Metazoa; Chordata; Mammalia; Pholidota; Manidae.